AAAUGGAUCUUGCUGGUCGUGUGGCCAGCCAGGCUCCCUUGUGAAUGGGCAUCGCCUGUGGGUGGUGAGCAAGCCAGAGAUGACUCUCGUCUUGUACCCCUCCCUUGUGGAGCUGAAGCUAAGCCCUGUGAGGACCUGGACACUUGCUCCACUGCAGUGAGCAGCAAAAGGCCUUCAUCCCACCCGGAGGCUCUGAUCUACCUGCAGCCAUGAUACGGAUCUCUUCCUGGACAGGUGUUUGCAGGCACUUGGGCGCUUCCCAUAUCAGACACAAGACAGCAGCUCCAGAUCAAACUUCCGGUUCUAGCGGGCUUUGAGAUGCCUAAAGUUGACAUCACGAGCCUUGUUCACCUCCUCAGCCCUCAGAGUUCCCAGAAUCCCAUGGUUUUCCCUGUCUACAUCCAGGUUAGUGAGGGAUACUGAACGCUGCUCUGGCGUCUGCACCUGAAUUGAUCUAGUGCCUUCUCCUGAUUCCCUAGGACCAAACUCUGCCUCCAUCUCCAUCUCUAAUCCGAGAUGCCUCUUCCCUCAGUGCCACACUCCCUCCCCACCAGGAUCUCAGGAACCAGAAGCUGCAGGCUCUGCUUCUCCCUCACUACCUUUGGACCAGCCCCCUUUAGAGAUGAAGGCAGGACCCAGCCCAUUGCGCCAAAGCUCAUUUCCACACCUACUCAAGAUGCUCCUCUGGUGAUUUAGGAAGACAGCACCAUGAACCCCACUUCUCCUCUGGUCCCUUUUCUCCUCAGCCUUCUUCCCUCCCCCAGUCCAUUCUCUAAACCCUAACCCUCUGCAUCCCCUAAAAUCUGUCCCCAUUCCUAGCCCUACUGCUCUGGUCCAGGCCCCACUGUUCAUCUGGAUUCUUACGCAGAAGCCCAGCUGCCCUUAGUCUCCAGGCCACGCCCAACAGGACUGCCCAAAGGGCCAAGCUACGAAUUACAUUGGUCCAUGGCCCUCAGUGGCUUCCGGCUGCCUCUGACCAUUGUCCUCUUCCUUCCUAUGGCACUGAGGACAGAAGGACAGCUCUUGUCCCCAAACCCUGCUGCCCCCGUGCUCCUUUCCAAGACCCUUGCACCUUGCACCUGCUAUUAUUGACUCUGCCAGGAGUGGCCUUCCCUCCUGUCUCUCCAAUAUCCAUCCUUCAAGUCUCUGGCACAACUUCAUCUGAGAAGCUGCCUCUGUGGUUCCUCACUGUCCCAGCAGCAGGCUCCGUCGGGCGGCAGUGCAUAGACUGCCCACGUCUGCUCCCAUAGGGCCCAUCGUCACUCCCUCUAGAACAUGAGCUCCCGGAGAGAAGGACUCGAAUUGUGUGUCUUUGCUACUAACCAAAUUGUCUCCCUCUCACUUCCAGUUUCAAGGCUAACUCCCUGGGGAGCUGUGACCACACAGAAACUAUCCCCCUGGGGAUAUGGGGUCAGAUGAUGAUUCUAGGAUCAAGAGGAGGAGAAGGAAAACUGGGGAAGAGGGGUUCUCUUCUCAUGGAGAUUAAGGAGUGGUCUCUUUGAGUGGAUCCUGAAACAGACAGACACGGAUGGGCAAAUCUGAAAUCCAAAUGAAGUCUGCAUUUUGGCUAGGAGUGUUGUAGCAAUGUUAGUUUCUCCACUUUGACGAAAGGCUGUGGCUGGGUGAGAUGUUAGCUUUGGGGAAACUGGCUUAAAAGCUUGCAUAAAAUCUGUAUACUGCCUUUGC
RNAcentral lists this long non-coding RNA (1686 nucleotides) under Mus musculus (house mouse). RNAcentral's name for it is "predicted gene, 30539". Lineage: Eukaryota; Metazoa; Chordata; Mammalia; Rodentia; Muridae. The record is from RNAcentral.